AGUACUUUCCUUUUGUAUGAUGUAGAUGCCAAUAAUUCGCUCUUCAGUUUUGUAGCGAAAAUAGUACCCGAAGUUUAUAGAUCUUUAUUCCUUCUUGUCGAUGAGACGAGGACUGAUUUCUACACAUAUAUUUACUGCAGAUCUGGAAAUAGGUUUAAAGGAAAGAUUUAGAAGUAACUGUGGUGAUCCAGGACGCUUUCAAGAUUACAAGUUCAGUAGUGGCAACUUGAACUUAUGUAAGAAUAAACAGGGUGAUUUUUCAUUCUGAAGAGUUUCCUAACUGUUGACUUUAAGCCUUCAUAGUUACAUCGUGGGAUUAUGAAUAAGAUGGUGCUAAUUAUAUUUUGA
This is a long non-coding RNA of Triticum dicoccoides, 348 nucleotides long. RefSeq lists it as uncharacterized. The transcript is spliced from 2 exons. NCBI's taxonomy places the organism in Eukaryota, Viridiplantae, Streptophyta, Magnoliopsida, Poales, Poaceae. The record is from RefSeq and is a predicted model, not a curated record.